CCUACGGGAGGCAGCAGUAGGGAAUCUUCCACAAUGGGCGAAAGCCUGAUGGAGCAACGCCGCGUGGGUGAAGAAGGUUUUCGGAUCGUAAAACCCUGUUGUUAGAGAAGAAAGAGCGCGAGAGUAACUGUUCACGUUUCGACGGUAUCUAACCAGAAAGCCACGGCUAACUACGUGCCAGCAGCCGCGGUAAUACGUCGGUGGCAAGCGUUGUCCGGGUUUAUUGGGCGUAAAGGGAGCGCAGGCGGUGUCUUAUGUCUGAUGUGAAUGCCUGCGGCUUAACCGGUGUAGUGCAUUGGAAACUGGGGGACUUGAGUGCAGAAGAGGAGAGUGGAAAUCCAGGUGUAGCGGUGAAAUGCGUAGAGAUAUGGAGGAACACCAGUGGCGAAGGCGACUCUCUGGUCUGUAACUGACGCUGAGGUUCGAAAGCGUGGGUAGCAAACAGGAUUAGAUACCCGGGUAGUC
This 465-nucleotide ribosomal RNA is filed under the name uncultured bacterium. RNAcentral's name for it is "partial 16S ribosomal RNA". It matches the Rfam family "Bacterial small subunit ribosomal RNA", at positions 338 to 795 of the family's 1533-position model. The record is from RNAcentral.